AGAUGAAGAACGUAGCAAAAUGCGAUAAGUAGUGUGAAUUGCAGAAUUCAGUGAAUCAUCGAAUCUUUGAACGCACAUUGCGCCCUUUGGUAUUCCUUAGGGCAUGCCUGUUCGAGCGUCAUUUUCACCUUCAAGCACAGCUUGGUGUUGGGCGUCUGUCCCCCGCGGACUCGCCUCGAAACUAUUGGCAGCCACUCCAGCGGCUUUGAGCGCAGCAGAAUUGCGUCUCUUGCGGCGAGGGGGGGCAUCCAUAAGCAUACUUUUUAUUUUGACCUCGGAUCAGGUAGGGAUACCCGCUGAACUUAAGCAUAUCAAUAAGCGGAGGA
RNAcentral lists this unclassified non-coding RNA (326 nucleotides) under soil metagenome. RNAcentral describes it as "partial contains 5.8S ribosomal RNA, internal transcribed spacer 2, and large subunit ribosomal RNA". The stretch from base 2 to 121 matches the Rfam family "5.8S ribosomal RNA", at positions 35 to 154 of the family's 154-position model. The record is from RNAcentral.